CUUCCCUCAGCCUGUAGAACUUCCGGCAGCAACUGCAAUUAGGGGUAGUCCAGUGCUAAAUUGUCGCAGCCUUGAAAAUAUUCUGCUUCGUUAUUUCGGGCACUCCACAGAUUCUGUUGCGAAGGCAGCCAUCUUUAGUUCGUCUUUCCUAGAGAGUAGUGUGUGAGCUGCAAAGUUGCUUUACAUCUUUGCCAGCAGCUGAUAAGGGUGGGCCAUAAACCCAAUUUGUGUCCCUUGGGCUGGUGAUUCUGCUGGAAAUCCUGAUCAGCUGCUUAGCUUUUCAGCCGCAACUUUGUUCGUUGAGAAGAUUCUGCUCCAUUUUUUCUGAUUAUGGAUUCUGUUCAGAAGGAAGCCGAAUUUUAAGUCAUCGUUCUAGGAUAGAUUCAGCUCCAUUUUCUCUGGUGGUAGAUCUCCAUGGAUGCUAUUGAGAAGGUACUUCUCAAAGUCCACGAGGACAAGGACAUCUUUCCACCGAAUGCCACCUGGUUUAUAACAAAAGCAUGAAAAACAAACAGGAAUUUCUCAAUGCAGAAAGGACUGAAGCUGUCAAAGGUGUGCUUUUUUUCUGCACAAACAAGUUUCCAUUGAAUGAUAGAAUAAAGAGAUACUGACUUCCCCGGAGCCUCCAAACUUGAGUAGUCAGCUUCAUUGCAUAAGUUAUUAAAAUAUGUAUCAUCUACCAUAAAAGAAAAUACUCAGAAUAGAAUAACUUUCCAGAGGCAUCAAGACCAAUAGGAAACAGAGCUCAGUAUUAGAACCCAAAAGAGGCAGAUUCCAAGCUUCUACUCUUCAGCAGGAUGAAUUGGAGAUUUCAGGCCAGGUGGAGGUGCCAGCCACGUGUUCUUCUCGCAAGUGAACAUUUUCUGGAAUGUGAAUCAGAUCACACAGCAGUAUGCAGCCACCACUGCUUUGCAGUUGUUCCAGACCUAUUUCCUCACCUGUUGAGAUGGAUGUGACCUGUACCCAUAAUGUCUAUAAUUAGAAGUUUUUCAGUGAGCAUUCUGUGGGUUAGACCUAUCCUUGAAAACAUGGGCUGGACUGGAUGUUGCAAGUAACAUUUUCUGUCAAAUGGAGUUUGGCCACAGACUCCAAAGGCCUAAACAACAAAUGCCAAAACCCCAUAUUCUAAAUUCAGGUGCUGGAUGAUCUGGAGAGGGAUUGGACCCAAAUUGGUUCUGCAGGCAUCGGCACAUUGUUUAAGUGAGUGAUAUAAAAGAGCUGAGGUGGUAAAAGGAGGAAAGACUCUUUUGAGACAGUUGCCAUCCUGGCAUAUAUUUUCUCCAAACUCAUGGGAGAUGUAGAAAAUGGCUGUCCCUAUGUCUCUAGUCAAAUGAAAGGGGCAUGGAACUUUUGCUCCACUCUGAUAUAGUUUGUAUAUUUGUCCCUGCCCAAAUCUCAUGUUGAAAUGUAAUCCCUGAUGCUGGAGGUGGGGCCU
RNAcentral lists this long non-coding RNA (1435 nucleotides) under Homo sapiens (human). Its description in RNAcentral is "HSALNT0407186". The record is from RNAcentral. Lineage: Eukaryota; Metazoa; Chordata; Mammalia; Primates; Hominidae.